UUCAUGUGUAAACAUAGUUUGUUUUCAGAAUAUGUCUUAGAAAAUCUGUCCAGUUUUGUUGGUUUUAUGUUCCUUAAGUGACAUCCUAUUAUGUUUUAUGCAAAAUUUCAUCCUUUUCCAUUAAGAUAUGAAGGAGAAAAUGAAGUACAAACUUUGAUAAAGUCUGUUCCAAACGAAAUUUACUCUUACUAAACUCCUGUUACAACAUAGGAAUAUGGUAAUUUAUUAUCAGUCUAAUUUAUCUUGACUUAUCUUUAUCUUUUUAAGAGAUAUAUCUGUUUUACCAGUUUUUUCUUGACUUAUAUUUUUCUUAAUCUUUCUUCUGUCCUUCCCUUUCAGUUAUGCCUCUAAGGGAUUGUCUUUAACCUACAUAUUGCUUUGUAUACUGUCAACUAACUAAGACAAUAGAAAUUUUGAUGAAAGUUUUGUAACAGGAAAUUUAUAAAAAUGACCACAUAAUUGAUAUUCAUGUCAACAUCGAAGUGCUGACUACUGGGCUGGUGAUACCCUCGUAUAAGAUUGUGCGUUUUCAUAACUGAUUUUAAACUAUUCAUUGGUUUUAUAUUUUUGUUUUUAUAGCUUGUGAGUUUCUAUUAAAAUUUGCCAGUGCGUCGUUCAUAUUACCUCCUAUUAUGACAGUUCCAGUUUCAUAAUUACUUAUGAAAUCAGACAGAUUUUUAUAGAACUCUCUUAUCGGGAGACUUCAAAAUCCAAGACAUCUGCUGGAAAAAAAACACCAUAGCUGGUCAUCAAUAUGCACAGAAAGUCAAUCAACUAUCUUUAUACCUACAUGUAUCACAUGAUUUUGGGUAUAACAGAUUGUAGAUUUCCCUACUCGACAAGAAAAUUGUCUUGAUCUUCUUUUUACUAGUCACCCAGCAUUUUAACUAUGUUGUAAAAAACUACCAUCACUUAGUGACAAAAGUGACCAGGCCAUAGUCCUUUAUGAUACUACCCACUAAGUCUCAAAGAAAAGAAAAACAAUGUAGGAAAAUUAUUCUUUGGAAAAAGAUGAAUGAAACUGCACUUAGAUCGUCAACUACAGAAUUCGCUACACAAUUCAGAUGCUCAUUUGAAAGCAUAAAUGACAUCCGGAUCAACGAAAUUGGAAUCAUUAAGCUAUUAAAGGGACUUAACCAAUAAAAAGUGUCUGAUCCAGAUACCAACCCAGUUCCUGAAAACAUUUGCAACUGAGAUCUCACCAGCACUCACCCUACUAUUCCAGUAUUCCAUCAACUCAGGGACAGUUCCAUCAGACUGGAUUUUCAACACAAAUUGAAUUUUAUGGGUUCUUUGAUAUGCUAAAUCUAACCGUGUAUUUAGAUAUUUGGAUUUUGGGCCCUGUUUUGAAUUGAUCCACAUUGAGGUCCAAAUUAGGGGUCCAAACUUAAAUUUGGUUGGAGUUCAUAAAAAAUUGAAUUAUUGGUGUUCUUUGAUAUGUCGAAUCUAACCAUGUAUUUGAAUUUGGAAAUUUGACCAUAAUAGGUAAAUGUACAAUAUAAAAGUUAAAAGUUCUUAGACCACAUUCAUUCUGUGUCAGAAAUCUAUGCUGUGUCAAAUAUUUAAUCACAAUCCAAAUGCAGAGCUGUAUAACCUUGAAUGUUGUGUCUAUACUUGCCCUAACAGAACAGGGUUCGACCUCUGCGGUCGUAUCAAGCUGCUUCCGGCGGAGCAUUUUUUUCAAAUUUCAGAUAUUGAAAAAUUUCAAGACGUAAUCUUUUAUUGCACAGUAUUGCGCAUUAUAUUUGUCAAAUCUUUGACCACAUUUAGUUUGUAUUAGAAACCUCUAUUAUGGCAACAAUUUGAUUACAACACAAAUUCAGAUAGUAUGAAGCUUGAAUAUUAUGUCAACAUUUGCCCCAACUGUUCAGGGUUCGACCACUGCGAUCGUAUCAUUCUGCGCUUAGCAGAUCAUUUCAAUUUGAAUAUUAUUAUGUACCCGACCAUGUCCACCUGUAGUUGUAGUAUUUGUAUUUUUAUCCAUCUGAUGAGUUAAGUCUCUUUCAACUGAUUUUCAUAGUACGUUCUUAUGUUGUACUGUUACACCACUGUCCCAGGUUAGGGGAGGGUUGUGAUCCAGCUAACAUGUUUAACCCCACCACAUUCUGUAUGUAUGUACCUGUCCCAAGUCAGGAGCCUGCAAUUCAAUGGUUGUCGUUUGUUUAUGUGUUACAUAUUUGUUUUUCGUUCAUUUGUUGUACAUAAAUUAGGCCGUCAGCUUUCUCGUUUGAAUUCUUUUAAAUUGUCAUUUCGUGAAGUAACAAUUUUAUGUGUCGUAGUUAUUUGAAUUUUUUAAUCAUGUUCAUGUGUAAACAUAGUUUGUUUUCAGAAUAUCUCUUAGAAAAUCUGUCAAGUUUUGUUGGUUAUGUUCUUUAGUGGCAUCUAUUGUUUUAUGCAAAAUUUCAUCCUUUCCCAUUAAGAUAUUAAGGAGAAAUGUGUACAAACUUUUCAAAGUCUGUCCAAAACCAAAAUUUAUUUAGCUAAACUCCUGUUACAACAUAGGAGUAUGGUAAUUUUUUAUCAGUCUUAUUUAUAUUUAGUUAUCUUUAUCUUUCUAAGAGAUAUAGCUGUUUUACCAGCUUUAUCUAGACC
Molecule: long non-coding RNA, 2592 nt
Filed under: Mytilus galloprovincialis (Mediterranean mussel)
Lineage: Eukaryota; Metazoa; Mollusca; Bivalvia; Mytilida; Mytilidae
Source: RNAcentral